AUUGACCUCGGAUCAGGUAGGGAUACCCGCUGAACUUAAGCAUAUCAAUAAGCGGAGGAAAAGAAACCAACAGGGAUUGCCUCAGUAACGGCGAGUGAAGCGGACACCGCCUC
RNAcentral lists this ribosomal RNA (113 nucleotides) under Dolichousnea diffracta. RNAcentral's name for it is "partial 28S ribosomal RNA". It matches the Rfam family "Eukaryotic large subunit ribosomal RNA", at positions 1 to 110 of the family's 3401-position model. The record is from RNAcentral. Lineage: Eukaryota; Fungi; Ascomycota; Lecanoromycetes; Lecanorales; Parmeliaceae.